CCUACGGGAGACAGCAGUGGGGAAUAUUACACAAUGGGGGAAACCCUGAUGCAGCGACGCCGCGUGGGUGAAGAAGUUUUUCGGUAUGUAAAGCCCUAUCAGCAGGGAAGAUAAUGACGGUAUCUGAUUAAGAAGCCCCGGCUAACUACGUGCCAGCAGCCGCGGUAAUACGUAGGGGGCAAGCGUUAUCCGGAUUUACUGGGUGGAAAGGGCGCGUAGGCGGCAGCACAAGUCUGGAGUGAAAUGCCAGGGCUUAACCCCGGAACUGCUUUGGAAACUGUGCAGCUAGAGUACGGGAGAGGUAGGUGGAAUUCCUGGUGUAGCGGUAAAAUGCGUAGAUAUUAAGAGGAACACCAGUUGCGAAGGCGACUUGCUAGACUAUAACUGACGUUGAGGCGCGAAAGCGUGGGGAGCAAACAGGAUUAGAUACCCUGGUAGUC
RNAcentral lists this ribosomal RNA (440 nucleotides) under uncultured bacterium. Its description in RNAcentral is "partial 16S ribosomal RNA". It matches the Rfam family "Bacterial small subunit ribosomal RNA", at positions 338 to 795 of the family's 1533-position model. The record is from RNAcentral.